AAGGGGACUGUUCGGGGAAGAGGCGGGGACAUCUUUUCUUUGGAAGAGCUAUGGGGGUCGCUUGCUGAGAGAUAGAUGGAGUGCUGCAGUCUCCAUUGGGAAGAUCUAAGUGGGAUCUUUGUCUUAGGAAGAGCUUGGUCACUGAGAUGUCACUGAAGCCACCGAGCGAGGGAACAGAAACUAAAGAAGCCGCAAGUGCUGGCCUGCUUCCGUCCAUCAGCCAUGACGAUUCCUUCCGGGGAUUCCAAGUACAGUCAGAGCGUCUCUGGGAGGUAAUCAACACACCAUUCGCGAUCCAUCCGCGUUUCAUCAAAAAUGCAGAACCGCUGUGUGUGACAGAGAACGAGCUCCAACCUUGAUCCUGCAUGUCGCAGACAUUCCUUGACGUGGGGCUGCCCUUGCACCUGGCUCAAGACUCUGGGAGACUGAUAAAGGAGAUCUGGCGGAAGCCUGAGGGCUCUGGUCUCCAUGCUGCCUCACCAUCCCCAGCCCAGCCCAUCGUCGGCAGCCAUGUUGCUCCUACAUCUGUUCCUGCAUGCUGUAGUAGGUGGUGUCUGCACAUCUGGCUGACUUUCACUGAAGAUUGAGAGGUCGCAGAAGGGAAGUGUGGUUCUGUCGAAGCCAGCGCAAGAACACGCCAGCAAGUCUGUGCCAGACACGUUUCUAACAGGUCAUGGUCAAAAAGUUACAAGUGUCAAAACUCUCAGACAAAUCUACCAGUGACGCCGUGACCGCAGGCCUCUAUUGAAAUUCCUCUUUGCAAGUCAAGAGGAAUCUACUUAAGAUGAUCUUGGGACUUGCUGUGUUCCAGGAAAAGAAAGAGAAGAAUAAAGGGUGUGACUUCCCUGAAGUCAUGUAGUGAGUUUGUGACACAACUGGACAGCACUGGGGUCUUCAGAAACCCCUUUCCACUGAAGGAAAUGGCACGCUUCAAAAGUCUAAGCUCAAGAGGACCUCUGGCCCAAUUCCAGAUGAAAAUCAAGAUGUGGCCACCCUGUGGAGAAGCCAGGUCCCCUGCUCCUGCUCCCCCUGACUCUCUCUCUUGCUGGUGGUUCUGUAGUUUGGAGCAAUGCACAGUGGGUCAAAGUCCCAGGCAACUCUGAGCUGAGCAUCACCAAAGAGAAGUGGAAAACUGGAGCUGGUUGCCAUGGAGACCAGCCACCGACUUCAGAGUGCCUGUUUAUUAAAGAUGAAAGUAAUGUAUGCCUGGCUGAUCUGAGCAGCUGUCAGAGAUUCGACUGUUAGCAGAGGAAGUCACUAAUUUCGAGGCAUAAUCACCCAUCUAAGAGAGAGGCGGCCCCCCUUCAUCUUCCGAGUGGAGCUGGGCCCUGUGGGUAAGGUCUGCCCCAGCGGGCGUUUCUUGUCCUUUUCUUCCUUCCUUCCUUGUUCUAUUUCUUUCUUUCUUCCUCGUUUAUUUUAGGACUAAUAUGGUAAUGGUACUUCUUUUCUCCCUUAUUUCCUACUCAAAAUAUAUAGUCUUGCAGUCAUGUGAUAGACGAAUUCAGCUUCGUGGGCGGGCCCAGGAAACCCAAACCCUCUCAUGACGUUGUUUCCUUUGGAAAGUGUAUUCUGGAUUCCAAGCCACCUACUUACAAAUAAGGCUGUCUGUUUGUUCAUUCAACAGUCUCCGCCAGGUGUGCAAGAGCAGAAGAGGUGGGGGUGAGCCCCGCGGAGAGCAGCCUUGAUGGACAUCGCGAGCCCUUCGACAGGAAUGGAGCACAAGCAGGGAAGAGCAGAAGAGAGAAAUGGAGAAGCAGACUCCUGCUGAGCAGGGAGCCAGACAUGGGCUUGAUCCCAGGAUCCUGGGAUCAUGACCUGAGCCGAAGAUAGAUGCACCCCUCAUCAGUGCCUUUAGAACACAGUGCACCCAGAACCCAGAUUAGCCUGGGCUCCAGCAAGGCAGCUUCCGGGCAGGCAGGCCUCAGAACUGCCAGCAGCAGUCCCCUGGAAGCUAUUACUUCUCUCACCUGCUCCAUACCUCAAGUAGGCAAAACAGCUGUCUCAUGUCACUGUGAUGCUUCCUCCUUUCCCUGCAUUCAUCCUGAAAGCAUUUUUUCUAAAGGACAUGCACAGUCUUAGGUUUGCAUGUUUUACUGAAGGAAAUUUGAAUCCCAUUUAUGGGAUGUCAACAUAGGUCAUAACUUAACCCUUUUUAUAAACACAUGUAUUUUUUUAAAAAUUUAUGCCAAUUGUAUAAAACAGGAGAGGAAAGGAAGAAUACUCAUUCAUCCAUCCAUCCAUUUAACAAUUACUCAUGGAAGGUACUUACUAUGAGUCAGGUGUAUUUAUGAGAUAAAUCAGAGAGUAUACAUUUAUUUUUCUUAAAACCUGCUUUAUUGAGGUUUUGUAAUUCAAGAAAUGCACCCAUUUUAUGUGUACAGUUUGAUGCAUUUUGACAAUCACAGUCAAGGUAUGGAACCUUUCCAUUACCCCCAGAAAGUUUUUUUUGACUGUUUUGCUGUCAAUUCUCUCCUCCUUUCCAACCCCCAAACCCCAGCCAAACCAAUGCUGUUAUUUUACUUGUGCCUUUCUAGAAAGUCAAAUAAGGGACAUAACUUGUAGUAGAGAAUACAGCUUAAAAAAUAAAUAGGCAUUUGCACUCCCAGCGAGUGAGGCAGAAGCUUUGACAUGGGACACAUAGACUGUGCUGCUGGAACACAUAAGUGGUGUGAGGAGACUUGGAAGCUGAGGUCUGAAGGCCUAAUAACAGUGAAUCAGAAAGAUGGGAAGAACCUAAUCCCAGGCGCUGCCGUGGGGGCUGGAAACGGACACAGCGCUCUGCUGGUGGGCGGCGGAGCUCUUCGAGGGAACACCAUUUUGUCCCCAUUUGAGGCCCAGGGAAGCCAUGAUCUUUUAAGAAACUCAUAGAAAUUCCAACUGAGAGAAAAUUAGUAUGGAAUUCUGUAAGCAAUUUCCUUCCUUUCUUAGAAUUCACAAUCUAAAAUGCAAGAGCCCAGGGCACCUGGCUGGCUCUGCAGGGGGAGACCGCCACUCUUGAUCUCAGGAUGGAGUUCAAGCCCUAUGCUGGCUGAAGCGAUUACUUAAAAAUAAAAUCUGAAAAAAAAAAAGUAAAAGCCCAUUCUUUGGCUGUUCUUCUAGAGGUUUGGUGUGAAUGAGCUGGAGAUCUGUAGCAUGCAGACCAGGCUUGUCCUGGGUUCCUGUCCUUGCCACAGAUGGAAGUGAAUCACAGAUCCCCUGCUCCCAGGUGCGGAUACUGUUUCCUCUCAUCCCAAGAAGAAUUCAGGCAACCUUGAUUUCAUCGGGCAUAUGUCAUUAGCUUAUCAAAGGCUCAAGUGGGAUUACUCUGAAGUGAUCUGUGCUUAAAAACUACCUCACUGGGGCACCUGGGUGGCUCAGUGGGUUAAACCUUCGGCUCAGGUCAUGAUCUCAGGGUCCUGGGAUCGAGCCCCACAUCAUGCUCUCUGCUCGGCAAGGAGCCUGCUUCUCCCUCUCUCUCUCUGCCUGCCUCUCUGCCUACUUGUGACCUCUCUCUCUCUGUCAAAUAAAUAAAUAAAAUCUUUAAAGAAAAACAAAACAAAAACUACCUCACCGGGGCACCUGGGUGGCUCGGUGGGUUAAAGCCUCUGCCUUUGGCUCAGGUCACGAUCCCAGGGUCCUGGGAUCGAGCCCCGCAUCGGGCUCUCUCCUCAGCAGGAAGCCUGCAUCCUCCUCUCUCUCUCUACCUGCCUCUCUGCCUACUUGUGAUCUCUGUCUGUCAAGUAAAUAAAUAAAAUCUUAAAAAAAAAAAAAAAAAAGAUCUACCUCACCCCCAGCCCCCUAACCAAGAGCAUGGAAAGGACCUCUCUGCCACCUGCGUAAAGACCAGGAGUCACCAGCACUCUUGCCUGCCUGCUUGAGAAUGCUUACACAUUUGCUUAUUUGAUUCUUUUUUCUCUGCUCUCCCUUGGACUGACAUGCAUAGCCAGUCCUCAUAGUUGUUUAUCAGUUCUCCAAGCCUAUUUUAAAAGAUUUCUGCUUUCAUUUAAAAUCUAAGUCACAUUCUUCUUGCAUCCGCUGCUGUAUUUCCCGAAGGGGUUGUGUCAAAGGAAAUUCAACACCCACUUUCCUCACGAUCGGCUCCCCGGCUUGCUCACUCAUCAGAAGGCUCAUGCUAUUCGAUACUUCAGAAGAUUAUUUUCCUUGUUAGGUGACGUGUCAAGGGAAGGGGAGCUGGCCCCAGCGUCAGGUGACUGAGUUUUGCUCCCGUUUCUACUGUUGACUCAAUCAAUGUCCUUGGGCAAGUCAUUGAGCCUUUUCAUGCUGCGGUCUCUGGGGAUGAAAUCUGCCAACUGCAUCAUAUGAAUUUGAACCUUAGUGCCCUCUGGGAUAAAAAUAGGAAGGGGCCAGGUGUCCAUGUGGCCCCAAACUGAUGGAAUGAGGAGGACCAUGGGACCUCAAAGCUGUCCUUGAGCUGCAAACUCUGUAACAGGGUCAGGCCUCGGGCCUUGGUCCAGUUGCCUGUGGGGGUCAAUUCUGCCACUUGGAUUUUUCCAAAAAUAAAAGAAGACACUGCAUUAACCACCCAGCCUUGUAUAUUCUAUCUGCUCCAUAUCCCAUAUGCCUUUGUACUUCCCCUGUUGGGAUACUCACCA
Molecule: long non-coding RNA, 4592 nt
Organism: Mustela lutreola (European mink)
Lineage: Eukaryota; Metazoa; Chordata; Mammalia; Carnivora; Mustelidae
Exons: 12
Source: RefSeq, a predicted model, not a curated record